AGCGAACGCUGGCGGCAGGCCUAACACAUGCAAGUCGAACGAACCUUUCGGGGUUAGUGGCGGACGGGUGAGUAACACGUGGGAACGUGCCUUUAGGUUCGGAAUAACUCAGGGAAACUUGUGCUAAUACCGAAUGUGCCCUUCGGGGGAAAGAUUUAUCGCCUUUAGAGCGGCCCGCGUCUGAUUAGCUAGUUGGUUGAGGUAAUGGCUCACCAAGGCGACGAUCAGUAGCUGGUCUGAGAGGAUGAUCAGCCACAUUGGGACUGAGACACGGCCCAAACUCCUACGGGAGGCAGCAGUGGGGAAUCUUGCGCAAUGGGCGAAAGCCUGACGCAGCCAUGCCGCGUGAAUGAUGAAGGUCUUAGGCUUGUAAAAUUCUUUCACCGGGGACGAUAAUGACGGUACCCGGAGAAGAAGCCCCGGCUAACUUCG
Molecule: ribosomal RNA, 432 nt
Filed under: uncultured bacterium
Lineage: Bacteria
Description: partial 16S ribosomal RNA
Rfam family: Bacterial small subunit ribosomal RNA
Source: RNAcentral